Molecule: ribosomal RNA, 309 nt
Filed under: uncultured Synergistales bacterium
Lineage: Bacteria; Thermotogati; Synergistota; Synergistia; Synergistales
Description: partial 16S ribosomal RNA
Source: RNAcentral
GGAGUCUGGGCCGUAUCUCAGUCCCAGUGUGGCCGGUCACCCUCUCAGGCCGGCUACCCGUCGUCGCCUUGGUGAGCCGUUACCUCGCCAACUAGCUGAUAGGGCACGAGCGCCUCCCCUGGCGCCUUUCGGCUUUUACCUCUCGGCUUAUGGGGUAUUAGCGUCCGUUUCCAGACGUUGUCCCCCGCCAUGGGACAGCUUCUCAUGUUAUACUCACCCGUCCGCUGCUCCGCUCGCAUCUUCCAUGUCGCCACUUCAAAUACGUCGUCGCUCAACUUGCAUGUGUUACGCACGCCGCCAGCGUUCAUC